RNAcentral lists this unclassified non-coding RNA (543 nucleotides) under Melitaea cinxia (Glanville fritillary). Its description in RNAcentral is "misc RNA ENSMCXG00005005237.1". The record is from RNAcentral. Lineage: Eukaryota; Metazoa; Arthropoda; Insecta; Lepidoptera; Nymphalidae.
AUUUCCUGCUCAAAAUAUGGAGCAGCCCGACUGGGGUAGUACCUCGACCUUACAGAAGAUCACAGCAAAAUAAUACUGUUCUCAAGCAGUAUUGUGUUCCUGUUGGUGAGUAAGGUGACCAGAGCUCCUGGGGGGGAUUGGGGAUUGGGUCGGCAACGCGCUUGCGAUGCUUCUGGUGUUGCAGGCGUCUAUAAGCUACGGUAAUCGCUUACCAUCAGGUGAGCCGUAUGCUUAAAAAAAAAAAAAGAAAAAAUAAUAAUCGGUCGAGGACUUGAACCAUAAGUCUUUCCGAUCGCGACCGGUCGAUUUCCCACAUAAGCUAUUACAACUUUACUGACAGUUGCGAAAUUUACCUUCGUAUUAUAACGAUAUUUUUUCACUGUCUAAAAACUGGGAUAAAACGACAUUUCCUAAAAAUAAAUCCUAGCUAGAUUUAUUUAUCUCCCCCGAAAUUCCCUGCAUACUAAAUUUCAUGAAAAUCGUUGGAGCCGUUUCCGAGAUUCAGAUUAUAUAUAUAUAAGAAUUGCUCGUUUAAUAGUAUAA